RNAcentral lists this ribosomal RNA (254 nucleotides) under uncultured bacterium. RNAcentral describes it as "partial 16S ribosomal RNA". It matches the Rfam family "Bacterial small subunit ribosomal RNA", at positions 524 to 776 of the family's 1533-position model. The record is from RNAcentral.
UACGUAGGGGGCAAGCGUUACUCGGAUUCACUGGGCGUAAAGAGCGCGUAGGCGGCUGGCCAAGCGUGGUGUGAAAUCUCCGGGCUCAACCCGGAAACUGCACCGCGAACUGGCCUGGCUGGAGUGCAGGAGAGGGCGGCGGAAUUCCCGGUGUAGCGGUGGAAUGCGUAGAUAUCAGGAGGAACACCGGUGGCGAAGGCGGGUCUCUGGGCCGAUACUGACGCUGAGGAGCGAAAGCGUGGGGAGCGAACAGG